This 567-nucleotide ribosomal RNA is filed under the name uncultured bacterium. RNAcentral's name for it is "bacterial SSU rRNA". It matches the Rfam family "Bacterial small subunit ribosomal RNA", at positions 338 to 916 of the family's 1533-position model. The record is from RNAcentral.
CCUACGGGAGGCAGCAGUGGGGAAUAUUGCACAAUGGGCGAAAGCCUGAUGCAGCGACGCCGCGUGAGGGAUGACGGCCUUCGGGUUGUAAACCUCUUUCAGCAGGGAAGAAGCGAAAGUGACGGUACCUGCAGAAGAAGCGCCGGCUAACUACGUGCCAGCAGCCGCGGUAAUACGUAGGGCGCAAGCGUUGUCCGGAAUUAUUGGGCGUAAAGAGCUCGUAGGCGGCUUGUCACGUCGGGUGUGAAAGCCCGGGGCUUAACCCCGGGUCUGCAUUCGAUACGGGCUAGCUAGAGUGUGGUAGGGGAGAUCGGAAUUCCUGGUGUAGCGGUGAAAUGCGCAGAUAUCAGGAGGAACACCGGUGGCGAAGGCGGAUCUCUGGGCCAUUACUGACGCUGAGGAGCGAAAGCGUGGGGAGCGAACAGGAUUAGAUACCCUGGUAGUCCACGCCGUAAACGGUGGGAACUAGGUGUUGGCGACAUUCCACGUCGUCGGUGCCGCAGCUAACGCAUUAAGUUCCCCGCCUGGGGAGUACGGCCGCAGGCUAAAACUCAAAUGAAUUGACGG